This 1146-nucleotide long non-coding RNA is filed under the name Helianthus annuus (common sunflower). Lineage: Eukaryota; Viridiplantae; Streptophyta; Magnoliopsida; Asterales; Asteraceae. The record is from RNAcentral.
CACAACUCUCCCCUGAUCCCCUUUUCUUCAGCAUAUACUCUAAACAUCACCACAAACACCUUAAAUCCUCCAUUAUGUCAAAAUCCUAGCCAUAUCCCUUGCAUUUCCUCUGCAGAUUGUCAACCAAAUAAAUAAAAGAAAACAAACAAACAAACUCCAUACACUAAUAUCUCCACCCUCUCGGCUCUCUCUCUGACGACGAAGACAAAAGAGGCCGGCUGACCACCACCCUAGGUGGCGGUGCUCGGCGGCUGGGGCGGCAGACGAUAGUCAGCGACACAACACCCCCCCCCCACACACACACACUUGUUUACCUUCUCUAAUUGAAACGGUCGACCACCACCAUCGUCUGGUGGCGGUGUGGCGACGAGGUGAAAGGGAGAUGGAGAGAGAGACGAUGGGAUAAGAGAGAGCGAGGAGAGAGAGAAGGUGGAGGGUUGAUGACGGUGGCAGGAAACCGGCGUCGAGUCGAUUUUCGAUGACCGGCAACGGUGGUUCUGUUGUCCGACGGGUUCCGUGACGAUGAUGAUUUAUUGAUGUUGAAGGUGUAAAGAUCUGCAGUUGAUAAUGAUGUUUUGAUCGGUCACAAGGCAGCGGGUUUCUUUUCUCAUAUUCAGCUUUGGAUUCGUGUUCCAGGUUCUGUGACGGUUCGAGUUUUGGUUCAGAUCUGGCUCAGAUUCGUGUUGGGUUCUUGGUUUGAGCAGGGUUAUAAUAUUCCAGAUCCAUGAUACGGCUCGGUUCAUACUGUCAGUUUGGUUUGGGUCUCAGUCUCGGUUCGGUCGACUCGGGUCAAACCGGGUCGACUCAGUCAACGCUGGUCAACAGAAGUCAACACAGUCAAAGCCACUCAAGACGGAUAACAGCAACCUCGGUCCGAGUCAGCUCAGUUUGGUGCGGGUCAAUGUCGAAUGUAGUUCAGUCAACUUGGUCAGAUUAGGGAGCGGUUCGGUUGACUCGGUCAAACCGAGUCAACUCGGUCAAACUCCGGUCAAAUGAGUCGCCACGAGGCUCGGAAUGCUUUAGUUGCACGCUAGCGAGUUCACAUUCGUGGGAUGACACUACGGAAUCACGUUAAGCUAGCUUUGCACAGGAUUGUCAAGGUUGAAUUUUCAAAGCUAUGGAACGGUUGGAAUAGGAGAACCCAUG